AUAUAUAUAUAUAUAUAUAUAAUAUAUAUAUAUAUAUAUAUAUAUAUACAGAUACAAUCAUGUGUUAAUAUAUAUACACGCUCACAAACACACACACACAUAUACAUACAUAUAUAUUUACAUAAACAUACAUAUGUCUAUUUAUAUAUAUAUAUAUAUUUAUACAGAAGCAUGUACUAACUUAGACGCACGCACCUGCUUAUCUAUCUAUCUAUCUAUCUAUCUAUCUAGAAGUACAAACACAUACACACACAUAUAAGGACAAACGCACAUAUUCAUACACACACGUGCACACAUAUACUUAUAUGCAUACGCGUACACACACAUAUACACACAUUCAACUAACAUCUUGCGUGGACGUGUGGAGUUAAAAAACAUUUCGUGUACGGAUAAUAAUUGUAAUCUACAACCUACAACGACACUUGAGAGUACACACACUGCAAACUGUAAUUACUAUUAUAUAGAUAUAUAAACACACGCUCUUCGUUGUUGUUUGUAUAUAUAAUUAUAUAUAUAUAUAUACAGAGGAAAUAAGCUAUAUGGAAACCAAAAUAUACACUCGUGCAUGGAAAAUCUACAUAUUAUAUUACUGAACGACAUGUGUAAUGAAUGAAGGAUUGCAUUUGGAUGAUUGAAAAUACUUGCUGAAAUUUGAACCCGGUUCGAUAGCACACCAACCUCACGUUCCUCCUUAUAUACUCCAAGAUGGUUUUAUUACGAAAUAGCCUGAAGGUUGAUUGACAACAAACGUAUUGGAUAUUCAGUCAGAAUGAGAGAAAUGAACAAAAUACAUGUGUCCAAGGAAUCGGAAUUCAAAUUAAUCACAAUCGUUGAACGAACGUAUUAAAUUUCACGGUUCAAGACACGAAGAAUAGCAACAACAAAACGAAAAUAAGAAAACAAUCGACAACAAAAGAAAAACAAAAGUGGAUUUAGAAAGGACGUAAACGGAAGAUCAAGGUUUCAAAUCACACAUGAAAAAAAAAAAAUAUCUAUAUUUAUCCCGUGGAGAUUAAGGAAUAUACGUGAUUAAGAUGAGCAGCAAACCUGGAUAAUCUCAUAUAUAGAUCUGUUCUCUACUUGAUAGAGAUCAGAGCGAGAGAGAGAGAGAGAGAGAGAG
This is a long non-coding RNA of Octopus bimaculoides (California two-spot octopus), 1120 nucleotides long. RefSeq lists it as uncharacterized. Lineage: Eukaryota; Metazoa; Mollusca; Cephalopoda; Octopoda; Octopodidae. The record is from RefSeq and is a predicted model, not a curated record.